RNAcentral lists this ribosomal RNA (517 nucleotides) under uncultured Leptothrix sp. RNAcentral's name for it is "bacterial SSU rRNA". It matches the Rfam family "Bacterial small subunit ribosomal RNA", at positions 8 to 522 of the family's 1533-position model. Lineage: Bacteria; Pseudomonadati; Pseudomonadota; Betaproteobacteria; Burkholderiales; Sphaerotilaceae. The record is from RNAcentral.
AGAGUUUGAUCCUGGCUCAGAUUGAACGCUGGCGGCAUGCUUACACAUGCAAGUCGAACGCGAAAGUAGGGGCAACCCUGCGAGUAGAGGGCGAACGGGUGAGUAACACAUCGGAACGUACCCGGAGUGGGGGACAACCUCGAGAAAUCGAGGCUAAUACCGCAUACGUCCUGAGGGAGAAAGCGGGGGAUCUGAAAGGACCUCGCGCUCAUGGAGCGGCCGAUGUCGGAUUAGCUAGUUGGCGGGGUAAGAGCCCACCAAGGCUACAUCCGUAGCUGGUUUGAGAGAACGACCAGCCACACUGGGACUGAGACACGGCCCAGACUCCUACGGGAGGUAGCAGUGGGGAAUUUUGGACAAUGGGGGCAACCCUGAUCUAGCCAUGCCGCGUGAGUGAAGAAGGCCUUCGGGUUGUAAAGCUCUUUCGGCCGGAACGAAAUCGCGUACGUGAAUAACGUGCGUGAUGACGGUACUGGAAGAAGAAGCACCGGCUAACUACGUGCCAGCAGCCGCGGUA